AUUGAACGCUGGCGGCAGGCCUAACACAUGCAAGUCGAACGGAGUGGCGGACGGGUGAGUAAUGUCUGGGAAACUGCCUGAUGGAGGGGGAUAACUACUGGAAACGGGCGCUAAUACCGCAUACUAUCAGAUGAGCCUAGGUCGGCUUAGCUAGUUGGUGGGGUAAAGGCCUACCAAGGCGCCGAUCCGUAACUGGUCUGAGAGGAUGGUCAGUCACACUUGAACUGAGACACUGUCAAGACGCCUACGGGAGGCAGCAGUGGGGAAUAUUGGACAAUGGGCGAAAGCCUGAUCCAGCCAUGCCGGGUGUGUGAAGAAGGUCUUCGGAUUGUAAAGCACUUUAAGUUGUGAGGCGUUACCAACAGAAGAAGCACCGGCUAAAUUCGUGCCAGCAGCCGCGGUAAUAC
RNAcentral lists this ribosomal RNA (407 nucleotides) under uncultured bacterium. RNAcentral describes it as "partial 16S ribosomal RNA". It matches the Rfam family "Bacterial small subunit ribosomal RNA", at positions 30 to 526 of the family's 1533-position model. The record is from RNAcentral.